UCCUACGGGGGGCAGCAGUGGGGAAUAUUGCACAAUGGGGGGAACCCUGAUGCAGCGACGCCGCGUGGGUGAAGGAGUACUUCGGUACGUAAAGCCCUAUCAGCAGGAAAGAAAAUGACGGUACCUGACUAAGAAGCCCCGGCUAACUACGUGCCAGCAGCCGCGGUAAUACGUAGGGGGCAAGCGUUAUCCGGAUUUACUGGGUGUAAAGGGAGCGUAGACGGCAGUGCAAGUCCGGAGUGAAAGCCCGGGGGCCCAACCCCU
Molecule: ribosomal RNA, 264 nt
Filed under: uncultured bacterium
Lineage: Bacteria
Description: partial 16S ribosomal RNA
Rfam family: Bacterial small subunit ribosomal RNA
Source: RNAcentral